CCUACGGUGGGCAGCAGUGAGGAAUAUUGGUCAAUGGGCGCUAGCCUGAACCAGCCAAGUAGCGUGAAGGAUGACUGCCCUCUGGGUUGUAAACUUCUUUUAUAUGGGAAUAAAGUCGGGUAUGCAUACUCCUUUGCAUGUACCUUAUGAAUAAGGAUCGGCUAACUCCGUGCCAGCAGCCGCGGUAAUACGGAGGAUCCGAGCGUUAUCCGGGUUUAUUGGGUUUAAAGGGAGCGUAGGCGGGUUGUUAAGUCAGUUGGGAAAGUUUGCGGCUCAAACGUAAAAUGGCAGUUGAUACUGGCAGCCUGGAGUAGAGUAGAGGUAGGCGGAAUGCGGGGUGUAGCGGUGAAAUGCUUAGAUAUCACGAAGAACUCCGAUUGCGAAGGCAGCCUGCUGGACUGUAACUGACGCUGAUGCUCGAAAGUGUGGGUAUCAAACAGGAUUAGAUACCCCUGUAGUC
RNAcentral lists this ribosomal RNA (460 nucleotides) under uncultured bacterium. RNAcentral describes it as "partial 16S ribosomal RNA". It matches the Rfam family "Bacterial small subunit ribosomal RNA", at positions 338 to 795 of the family's 1533-position model. The record is from RNAcentral.